UACCAUCAUUUACGGGGAAUACAUUUGGGAAAAUUUGUUUCUCUCUCAACCAUCCUGCCGCCUUCCCCCUCCCUUGUGCAGUCACCUUGCCGCUUUCUUCAUCCCUCUUCGCCGUCAGUAGCAGUGAUGAGCGGCAACGCCCGCCACCUCCUCGCUAACGCAGUUCAACACAGUAGGCUGGACCAAGGCUUCGGUCGUCGGGAUCUGCUUGUCGACGCACGCGAUCGCCGCUAACUUCACGUAACGGGCCCGUCAAAGCACACGGCUGUCGCCGUUCUUGGUCCGAUCGCGCGUCCCCGUGCUUGCUGCCCAUCUCGCCGAUCAAGGCGAGGAUCUAGGUUCGCGAUUUUCCCUGUUCGGCGGCUAACAACAAAGGUAGGGUUUUUGAUCUCUUUCACAAUUUUGAGAAUUUUUUUGAACAAAUCUAGUGCGUCGUUUUUAAUUUUCUCAAAAUGUUUAUUGUGAAAUUAUUAUUUGAUAAGCAUCUUAUUUUGUUUUUCUGUAAUACGUGCAAAAUAUUUCUUUGGUUGUUCAAUUUAAUCUCCAUAUUUGUAAUGAUUUUGGUGUUGGGCUUAUCCAUCUUUUAUGCAUUUUAUAGGAUUGAUGUUGCUGCUACCACGUACUUAAAUUGCAAGCCUGCGGUUGGAAGUGCAGCUGAAAACAAGUAGGAGUAGUUUUAUAGUCGACUCCAUUUAACUCGGACAUCAUCGGCAUUUUGCAAUGAUGGGACACAAAAUAUUGCAAACUGCAGGAACUGUUCGUUUACAAAAAUAUGUUCUGUUCAUUUAUAAAUUGUAUUCUGUUCAUUUACAAAUUGUAUAUUCAUGAAUAAUAUACUUUUUUCAGUGUACCAUUUUUAUUAUUUAUACUUUGUGAGUAAAAAUUGUGUUAUGUUAAUUAAAAAA
This 905-nucleotide long non-coding RNA is filed under the name Salvia miltiorrhiza (redroot sage). RNAcentral's name for it is "long non-coding RNA (SMIL_LNC008709)". The record is from RNAcentral. Lineage: Eukaryota; Viridiplantae; Streptophyta; Magnoliopsida; Lamiales; Lamiaceae.